Molecule: small nuclear RNA, 94 nt
Filed under: Nannospalax galili (Upper Galilee mountains blind mole rat)
Lineage: Eukaryota; Metazoa; Chordata; Mammalia; Rodentia; Spalacidae
Source: RNAcentral
GUGCUCACUUCGGCAGCACAUAUACUAAACUUGGAACAAUACAGAGAAGAUUAGCAUGGCCCCUGGGCAAAUUUGUGAAGACUUCCAUAUUUUU